GGGCAGUAUAAAUUACCCUCCGUUGGUAUCACCAGAACUAAAAGGUUACAGUUAAGUUAAUAUAGGUACAACAUGUAUACAUAUCGGUAUUAGAUGGUUACCUGUAGAAGUUUUAUCAUAUAAGUAAAGCAUGUCUACAUUACUGUUAUUCUUGUUAUUUGUGUCAUUAGUUUUAAUGAACACUGUGAUACUUGGUCAAGACUCGGCAGUGGAAAAGAUAGCCAGGAUGCCAAGAAUCAGACAGAAAAGGAGAGGGUGGUCAACAGGCACAUCCUUUAUUGGAAAAGCUUGGUGCAAAUUUUACAUUUACACAGCGAAGAAGUAUCCCACAUAUUGUUUCACACAUAUAUGGGGGGGAUGGAGAUGAAUUUUCUCCGUUUGUGUUUCUUUUUCAAGACUCACCACACCAUUGCCACAGCGUAGAUAUUUAACAUUUUGCCAAAUAAUAGCCUGUGUAUCUUGAAGAAAGAUGUUCAUUGGAAAUUGAUGAUGUAGAAGAGACGACCCUUUAACUUUGCAAGUGAACAUUUGUUUAUUGUGUAUCGUAUUAGUAAAACGAGGAGAAAUAGAUAUGAAAGACAUGUGUCUAAAGGGUGUAUAACUCUAUUCUUUUGAACCUUAAAAUAGGUAUAAAAUCGCAUAUUGAUGUAAUAUGAAUGUAUAUAAAAUAUAUGUAUAAAGUUCUGUAUGUUAAUAAUUUUCAACUGUGUACAUGUAUUUACAUAUAUACAUCAUAAUAAACAGCUUAAAACGUAAAGAGACAAUGAAAUGGAGUUUGACGCUCUACUGUUGUGCUCCGACUGUGCUAAUGAAGAUGGUCAUACGCUAUGAGAGGAAUUUUGCCCGGACAUCGGCGCUAAUUCCUAUUAUCAGUUUAAAUAAAUUUAUAUUCAGUUU
Molecule: long non-coding RNA, 897 nt
Organism: Patella vulgata (common limpet)
Lineage: Eukaryota; Metazoa; Mollusca; Gastropoda; Patellidae
Exons: 2
Source: RefSeq, a predicted model, not a curated record